GAUCCUGGCUCGGGAUGAACGCUAGCUACAGGCUUAACACAUGCAAGUCGAGGGGCAGCGGGAUUGAAGCUUGCUUCAAUUGCCGGCGACCGGCGCACGGGUGAGUAACGCGUAUCCAACCUUCCGUACACUCAGGGAUAGCCUUUCGAAGGAAAGAUUAAUACCUGAUGGUAUCUUAAGCACACAUGUAAUUAAGAUUAAAGAUUUAUCGGUGUACGAUGGGGAUGCGUUCCAUUAGGUAGUAGGG
Molecule: ribosomal RNA, 247 nt
Filed under: uncultured bacterium
Lineage: Bacteria
Description: partial 16S ribosomal RNA
Rfam family: Bacterial small subunit ribosomal RNA
Source: RNAcentral